CGUGCGGUUCCAUUUUGUUGGUUUCUAGAGUCGGCCGUAAUGAUUAAUAGGGAUAGUUGGGGGCAUUUGUAUUGCGUUGCUAGAGGUGAAAUUCUUGGAUUUACGCAAGACAAACUAUUGCGAAAGCAUUUGCCAAGGAUGUUUUCAUUAAUCAAGAACGAAGGUUAGGGGAUCGAAAACGAUCAGAUACCGUUGUAGUCUUAACAGUAAACUAUGCCGACUAGGGAUCGGACGACCUCAAUAUUAUGCGUCGUUCGGCACCUUACGAGAAAUCAAAGUCUUUGGGUUUUGGGGGGAGUAUGGUCGCAAGGCUGAAACUUAAAGGAAUUGACGGAAGGGCACCACCAGGAGUGGAGCCUGCGGCUUAAUUUGACUCAACACGGGGAAACUCACCAGGUCCAGACAUAACUAGGAUUGACAGAUUGAUAGCUCUUUCUUGAUUUUAUGGGUGGUGGUGCAUGGCCGUUCUUAGUUGGUGGAGUGAUUUGUCUGGUUAAUUCCGAUAACGAACGAGACCUUAACCUGCUUAAUAGCCUGGCCGGCUUUUGCUGGUCACCGGCUUCUUAGAGGGACUGUCAGCGUCUAGCUGACGGAAGUUUGAGGCAAUAACAGGUCUGUGAUGCCCUUAGAUGUUCUGGGCCGCACGCGCGCUACACUGACAGAGCCAGCGAGUACUUUUCCUUGGCCGGAAGGUCAUGGGUAAUCUUGUGAAACUCUGUCGUGC
RNAcentral lists this ribosomal RNA (724 nucleotides) under Russula sp. R10_10MI20. Its description in RNAcentral is "SSU rRNA". It matches the Rfam family "Eukaryotic small subunit ribosomal RNA", at positions 827 to 1570 of the family's 1831-position model. Lineage: Eukaryota; Fungi; Basidiomycota; Agaricomycetes; Russulales; Russulaceae. The record is from RNAcentral.